GUCACGUGACAAAAAUUCAUAGAGUUUUCGGCUGAACUGCAGGAAGUGUUUCCACAGAGCAGAGAGGAAACAAGUCUGGGAGCUAAUUAAUGAUAUAAAUAAGCUAAUAUCUAUAGGAUGUAGAGCCAAUAUUAUUUUUAUCAGUGUUGCUAACACCUGUGGACACUUGGAAAAAUUAUGGAUUUAUUGUUUUAAUUUUUACAUUUUUUUCGUAAAAUUAAAAAAUGAGGGUUUUUAAUGAUUUGAGGCGUUUUAACUGCACCGGAGACACUCCUGACGUCUCUCUCCUGCUUCACUGUGUUUCCAUAAAGCUGCAGGACUUUAUAUUUGUUGAAAAAUGUGACAGGAGCAAAUAAAAAGCAGCUGCUCGUUGGGGUUCAGAGGGUUAAACCAGUUUGCUGCAGAUCUCCGUUAUGGCCUCGGUGCCGACGCCUGCUCUUCCUACCAAAGGUUUUAUUUCCAGUUACAAACCAGUUUACUGCAAACAUGUACCAGUACGUGCCACGUUAACGUCCUCAGUGUUACACACAAACCUCAUAUAUCUGACAUGUUGCCGUUUGGAGAACAGAGACGCUGGUUUUCUUCUGACAUCUGAGCUCACUUUUCACCCACAGCUUUGAAGCGAUGAGCGAGAGCCGGAGGACGUGAGUCCGUUUAUGUAGAAACAGCAGAAUCCGGUUCAUCUGGCUUCUGUUGCUUUGCUUUCCUGUGGUUUGGUGUUGAAACAUGAAGGUAGAAACCACUUCAGAGUUCAGCCUGUGGUGGUGGGAGGGUUUAUUAGGACAGUUUAGGUUAAGUCCCAUCAGACCAACUCUCAGCUUCUUUGUGUUUUUGUUUUUUUCUGCACUGUGCAGAAUCAUGUCCGUGCUGCCUUUUCUUUCUCAGGACUGCAGAUCAUUUAACUCAAUGGAAAGGUAUUAAACAGGAGGAGGAGGAAGCCCUCAAAGGUCACCUGGGUUCACCCCCGUCUGCUAACUGUACGUUUGUGAAGCUUAACUGCAACACAAAGCUCAUAAAAGACCUUCUGGACGCUGCAGCUCAGCGCCGCUUAUAUUAGUCAGUAAGUUUCCCACAAUUAUCAGAUUUAAUUUAAUUCAAUGGUGACUCCAAUGACACACAAUCAAUUUUGCAGCAAUGAAUUCGCAAUUUAAAGUGCAAUUUUUGUGUUUACGGGUUAGUAAAGUGGUUCCCAAAGGAGAGCUAUGGACCCCGGGGAGGUCAAAAAACGAUCCCCAGAAAUUAUAUAUCUUUAAAAAAUCAGAGAAAGUAUAUUUUAUCCAUUAUUAUGACAAAAUAUUAAAAAAAACAGAGUCUGCUGCAGAUUACUUUGACCGAUAUACUCUGACACGAGUCUAAACUACACAACAGAAGUGUGAUAUCACUGAAAUGUCCGUUAAUUCUGACUUGUAUCGCCUCCAAAACCUGCAGUAAGUUAAACAGCAGCAUUUUUCUUCUUAUGAACAAUCAGAAAGAAAUACUUUACAAAGACGAUAUUGAAAAUGUCCACUCAUAACAUCAGCCUCUCAUCAUUUUUCAAAAUGACUCACAAUAGGUUAAUAUGUGUCCAAAACACCCUCAAGAUGUGUCUAUAGUUAGUUGGAAAUUGCCCAAUGGUGUCCAAAAUGACUCAAAACUCAUCCAAAUGACUAAAUUAUUUUUAAAAUUGGCUAAAAAAUGAUCCAAGAUCAUUUAAAAAAUCCAAAAUGGCUUAAAAUGGCUUAAAAUUUGUCCACGAUGACUUAAAGUCCGUCCAAACUCGUGCAACGUGACUUAAAACGGCCAAAGUAAGUCCAAAACGAUUCAAAAUUCAUCCAAAGUGACUCAAGUAAUUCCAGAUUUGUCAAAAUUACUCAAUAUUGAUGAAAAACAAGUUAAAAAAAUGUCCAAAAUAACUUGAAAUGUGACAAAAAACCGACUUAAAAUGAAGACACGAAGUCAAAAUAUCAGAUUUUCAUUCGAUGUCAGAGGCUUAGAGGUAAUCCGAUUACUCUAAGGUGAUGCAAAUUUUGAGUUAUUUGAGAUUUAAGCGCUAUUACACGUCACUCCUGUUGUGUGCUGUGUGUUCUAUAAAGUGUUGUUCUGGUUGUUGGGUUGUGGUUUCUGUUUUGUUUGUUUGUUUAAAUCCGUCUGUUACAGCUUCAGUCGAUGCUGAAUGAAAUAGUUCCCCGUAAUUAUCAGUACAGAAACGUUUCUCACUGUAUUCAUACCUAUUUUAUUUUAUCAGCAAAGCAUUUAAACCGUUUUCCUGAAUGUUUCGUAGUGCGUUCACGUUCAGUGCUCCCUGUCCUGUAUGAAGUCCGUCAAAGCUUUAACUCUCACAGUCUGGGCUGAAGGAAAACACAGGAAGGAAGGAAAAGGUGGCGGAACAGCAGAUUCACAGAGCUGGAGUCAUGAAAAGCCGUUUCACGCUGAAGCUAAAGGGGUUUAGAGAUUAAAAGCAGCUGAGGUUUGGGUUUAAGUUAAAGGGCUAGUUCAGUGUUUUAUUUAGUCGAGCGUCUUAACAGCUGAGUUCAAGCUCAACAAAUCCAGGCUUUCUUUGAGUUAGAUUUAAAAACAGUAAAAAAAAAACAAAAAAA
Long non-coding RNA from Stegastes partitus (bicolor damselfish), 2576 nucleotides. RefSeq lists it as uncharacterized. The record is from RefSeq and is a predicted model, not a curated record. Lineage: Eukaryota; Metazoa; Chordata; Actinopteri; Pomacentridae. The transcript has 2 exons.